RNAcentral lists this ribosomal RNA (429 nucleotides) under uncultured prokaryote. RNAcentral's name for it is "bacterial SSU rRNA". It matches the Rfam family "Bacterial small subunit ribosomal RNA", at positions 355 to 776 of the family's 1533-position model. The record is from RNAcentral. RNAcentral also lists the same sequence under 1 other name.
UAGGGAAUUUUCGGCAAUGGGGGGAACCCUGACCGAGCAAUGCCGCGUGAAGGAUGAAGGCUUUCGGAUUGUAAACUUCUGUUGUAUAGGAAGAAAGGUAAGUGGAGUGGAAAGCCACUUAAUUGACGGUACUAUACUAGAAAGCCACGGCUAGCUACGUGCCAGCAGCCGCGGUAAUACGUAGGUGGCAAGCGUUAUCCGGAAUUAUUGGGCGUAAAGAGUGAGCAGGCGGUUAAGGAAGUCUAAGAUGAAAAGCUAUUGCUUAACGAUAGUUUGUUUUAGAAACUCCUUGGCUAGAGUACGGUAGAGGUAAGCGGAAUUCCAUGUGUAGCGGUGAAAUGCGCAGAUAUAUGGAGGAACACCAGUGGCGAAGGCGGCUUACUAGACCGGGACUGACGCUGAGUCACGAAAGCGUGGGUAGCAAAUAGG